GCAGUGGUGGUUCAGAGGUAGAAUUCUCGCCUUCCACGUGGGAGACCCGGGUUCAAUUCCUGGCCAGUGCA
RNAcentral lists this transfer RNA (71 nucleotides) under Loxodonta africana (African savanna elephant). It matches the Rfam family "tRNA". From Rfam's summary of the family: Transfer RNA (tRNA) molecules are approximately 80 nucleotides in length. Their secondary structure includes four short double-helical elements and three loops (D, anti-codon, and T loops). Lineage: Eukaryota; Metazoa; Chordata; Mammalia; Proboscidea; Elephantidae. The record is from Rfam by way of RNAcentral.